Molecule: long non-coding RNA, 42314 nt
Filed under: Setaria viridis
Lineage: Eukaryota; Viridiplantae; Streptophyta; Magnoliopsida; Poales; Poaceae
Description: long non-coding RNA (SVIR_LNC001082)
Source: RNAcentral
UUUUUUUUUGUUUUAGUUUAUCUGAUUAGAUGCGUAUUGCUUGCUGUUUUGUAUAGCCUUCGUUUGGAUAUAUGUUUGCUGCUUGAUUUGAAUUUAUCGAUUCUUGAUUGAUAUGGAUCUCAUCUGACCUCGUGGUCUAUUCUCACUGCCACUUUUUCCUUUCUUGCAAAGGAUAAAUAAGUUCAUUGUUGCAUCAACGCUCCAAUGAUACUUUUAGUCCUGAACUAAUUAGAUUCACAGCAUGCUCUUGCUGCGAUUUAUGCAGAUUUCUAGCAUAUGUUUUUGGCUGGACUAUUCAAUCACAAGUCAUCUCUUUGAAAAUACUCAUCUUCCAAGUUCCAACAAAAAAGCAAUAAGAUAAACAGAAGCAGCAGCAUCGACAGAGCCAGCUCCAGUGAUUGGCACUGCUGAUAUCGAAUCGAUGGGUAGAGGAAGAGGCAGAGGGAAGAAGCUAACCAUUGUCAGGAGCCAUGAGGACAAAGGAAGCAGUGGCGAAGAAGUUGUGCCUGCAAGGAAGAGAAGAGGAAGGCCCCAAAAGCGCUUCACCGAUAAGAUCGAUCAAACAGAUGUCGAAAAUUUAGUCGAAAAGGUUGAUGGAGAUGGGGAAGAAGUUGAUGACGUGAAGCUGAAGAACAGCACUUCAUCUGUUGGUAACAAGAGGGGCAGGCCGCUGAAAGAAGGCUCUAACCUUGUCCUAGAAGAGAAUAACUCUAGUGUUCGAUCAAGCAGCGAUGAAUCAACGAGGACUAAUGGGUUCAGGCAGAUUGGAAGCCGGAGGAAAAACAAGCCCCGGCGAGCUGCAGAGGCAGGGCUAGAAUGCAAGUGAAACAUCCCUGCGAUCUUCUGAUCUUCAGUACCAGGUAGCCUACAAAAUUUUGCUAUAUCCUCAUGUCUAGUAGCUCCCCAGUGCUGAAAAAAAAUGUGUAAACUAGCAUGUUCUGAUUGCAUGCCUCAAUUUUUUCGUUUGAUGCAAAGUGUAUGAACUAAUGGUACAGCUACUUGUUCAGCUGCUCUAGCCUUGAUUCUACUUUGAGCUGCUUGUAGCAGAGAUUUACCUUUCUGUUACAACAACUGGUGAUACUAGAAGGUGUUCCUGCAAUUUUGAUAUGUCUGGUGCAUCUUCUUCUUUGCUUUGCUGUACUUAUUAGUAGCUUAUUAAGUUCUGGAAAUGAAAUUGGAACACAGGAGCUGUCUACUCUUGACGAGGGUCAUGCAUAGCGAAUGUGAAAAGGGAGAUAGUUUGUUAUAUUAAUCUAGAAAUUUCUUGUUUGCAUAAGCAUUUGUGUAUUUGGGCACUCUUAGCUCAACUUGGACUAUGCUCGGAUUUGAUCAUUCGUAUCCAUAUGAGUACGAGACAAGCAACACAUCUAAAAACUAAAAUGGCAGUUUAAUUUGAUGACUUGUUUCAAGGCUUCAAGCUCAGGCAUCCAUAUUUGGUGGAAUUUUACCAUCGUGAAGUCAAAUAGCUUCUGUUUGCUUGCACUGCAAUCUGGGCAUUAUAUUUCCUUACGAAAUUCCUUUUUUAUUAGCCAAUACCUAUAAUUCUAUGGACGAGUAUAAAACACAAGAACAUAUCGUGAUCCCGAGUCCCUGACAUGCGGAAUGGAGUGGCAUGGCACUACCACAGGACUCCACUCGUUGGCUAUGGAUUUCUUGUCUUGGAUCACCUUAUCAACAAGCUCGCAGCAAUCCAUCCACCCCUCCUCUCCCCUGUUCAAACCCGACACGGGACGAGGUCGGCAGAGGGCUCUUUCGGCAAAAAGCUGCGCCACUUUUGCCACCCGCCCCAGGUGGUGGCCUGCCGCUGCCCGCUGCCGCCGCGCGGCUGCCGCAUGCGGUCUCGCGCUCGCCUCGCCCGACGGCGCCUCGCGCGACAUCGUCGGUCGGCCGAUGGCGCCGCGUCGGCCUGUCUGCCCGCGGCGGGGCCGGCCCCGCCCGCCCGCUCGUUCCAGCGCUGAAUCAUUAGGCACUCGCCGUGAGCGUGACGGGUGACCGUCGGUCCGUCGCAUCCGCCGCGCGGAGGGCGGGCGCCUGGGCGCUGCGCGUCCCCGCGCGGUUCGUGGCCGCUGCCCGGGCGUUGUGCGGUCGAGCGGGACCUUGCUCUUGUGGAGCAGAGUGGAGUGGACGCGUCGUCCAGGGCGGCGCCUGCACAUGUCCGCGGGCCCCGGCCCCUGGGUCACACUCGAACGCAACGGCCGGCCAGCGAGCAAAGCCCGGGAGUCCACACGACCUGGAUCAGUCUCUUUUCUUUUGUGAAAAUGUAGAGAACUUUAUUGAUUACUCAGAAGUUCAUCUGUGAUUGAGAUUGACAUUGUGACCUCGCGUAUCGCUGCGCAGCUACUGCGCUAUACAGGUCGAUACUCCGAUAAUGUAUGAAACUGCACACCCGAGACAGAUCGAUGGCAAAAUCUCCUUCUUUUUUGGUCGGAAUGGUGAAAUACUUGACACUACGUGUACUGUGUAGUGAAAACUGACCAUACUUUUUAGAAACAGUGUAGUGAGCAAUUGUUUUUAUUAUUUUUAGAGUGUUUUUGAAAGUGUGUUGUGAACAAUUUUCCGGAGACUCGACCAGCACGGACGGACUCGUAACUUGUGUUGGGCUAACAAGAUCACUCGUGUCAUUUGUUGUUGUGAAAGGCCCACGUAACAACAACGCCGAAUCAGCCCACGCGCGAGACCAGGCCCAGAGCCCACAUCAACGCCGCGGCCGGGCACCACCCACCUCUCCCGGCUCACUCCUACCAGUCUCCCACGCCGCGAUUCCCCCAUUUCCACCCCGAAACCUCCGGCCGUCCUCCCCUGAAUCCAACCUUCUCCGCCGCCGCCGGCACACACCGCGCCGUCUCCAGAGGUAAGCCACUCUCUUUCCCACUCGGCUCCCUUCCCAACCACGGGGGACACCCCCACCCCGACCUCAACCGAACGCACGCCGUCACUAGAUCCCUGGAAUUCCCGAUCCCGUCCUGCCCAGCCUUGGGCUCGCCGGAUCGAGCGUCACGCGCGCGGCCGCGGCUCUGAUUCGCUGAGCCUGUCCGCAGGAACAGGAGGGAUCGAGCCAUGGAGGACGACUCGCCGGUGACGAAGACGGUGAAGGGCGCCGUGACGGGGCUCGCCGCGGGGACCAUCUGGGGCACCGUCGUCGCCACCUGGUACGACGUGCCGCGGGUGGAGCGCCACGUCGCGCUGCCGGGACUCAUCCGGACGCUCAAGAUGUGCGGGACCUACGGGGCCACCUUCGCCACCAUCGGCGGGCUCUACAUCGGCGUCGAGCAGCUCGUGCAGGCCCAGCGCAAGAAGCACGACUUCGUCAACGGAGCCGUCGGCGCGUUCGUCGCCGGGGCCUCCGUCUGCGGCUACAGAGGUUAGAAACUCCAACCGUUUGCAACAAAUGCACCUCGGAGACCCUUGGUUUUAAGUUUCUGUUCAAUCUAAUGCGUUACCCUUCUUCCUUAUGGUCGAUAGUACUGGUGUGCGGACAAGUAGGGAUUAACUGGGAAUUUGGAUCGCCGUCUUUUCAUUGUGCUAUGUUUGACAUAAUGUAGUGAUAUACAUAAGCUAGGUUCUGGCUGCUUGUCAGGUUUAACUAGUGAGUCUUAAGCUCAAAUCAGAAGGAAUGGGAUUUUGGGAUUAAUUGUUUCAUUGUUAAGUAUACCCUCUUUUUUUUCUGAGUGAUUCGAAAAGAUGCCAUAUUCAUGUCACUGAAUAGGCACACCUCUUGUAGCAAUUUCACACAAAAGAAAACAUGUUCUUGUAGUGAUAUACUUUGGGAAUAGUUCCAUGAGCAUUGUAUUUAUAGAUAACAAUGGAAAUCGAAGUUACCCAGUAAAUUAUGCAUGUCUAGCCCAGUGGCUCAAUCAUAUGCACUUCCAGAGCAUCUGAUUUUCUUUUGUAAAUGACAGAUACAUGAUUUGAAAAACGAAAACGAUUCUCUUGAUUGAAUUAUAUGAUUUAUAUGAUGGAGCAUUUUGGAUUAGUUCAUCCUAAAUUUGGAUGAUGGCAUAGUUUGUGCUCCUAUAUCCAGUGACUUCUGGUGACUAUGCAAUAAGAGUUAUUGUGUGGACAGAUACGGGUCAAACAUUUCUUUCACAUGAUAAUUGCUCUAUUCUUCACAAAAUGGGUUCCUUGGUUAAACAGCGAUCUCACUGAACAACAUGCCAUAAGUAUUUAAGCUAGGAUAAACAUUUUUUCUUGGAAGAGAAAUGACUAUUAAUAUAGCUUUUGUGAUUGCUACAAGCUAGGCUAAAGUAUGCAGUGCUUGGAACCUACAUAUUAAUAUAUCAUACAAUAAAACGGUAGCAUGUAUAUUUACCUAGGAGCUGGUUUUGUAUGAUAUUUAUUCAUUCUGAAUUGCUUCACGACGGAAAAUCUAGUCAUGAGCUACAGCCUGUAUUCGUAAAGGAAUCGUGACCUAGGUGUAUGAAUCAUUGUGUGUGGUGAUAAAUUGGCAUAAUGCCAUAGCUUUUGCUUGUAGCAUCAGUUAGGUUUAAUUAGACAAUAAGGGUUAACACAGCGAUAGGUGUGAUCUGACCAUCUGCUGCAAAGCACUUAAUCUAUCUUAUGAGGGAUAUAGCUUAUAACUGAACAUCAUGUGUUUCAUAGUAGCAGUAUUGUCAUGCUUAUGCUUGGAUUAACUCCCUGUUUGGAUAAACAUAAUUCUAACCAACUUCCUUGAUGGAAGCUUGACAUUUCAACAGUUGAUGAAUAGUUUAUACAAAUUCUGGUGCCCACGGUAUGCUACAAAUUUGUAACUGGUUAUAAUUCUAUGAUAUUACUUAGUUAUUGGUCAAGAUGGAAUGCAAAAAACUGUCAGUUGUCAACAGAACUUAGUCCAGACUGAAGCAUGUGCUUGUAUCUAUUAUGUUGGCUAUCAAGUCUGAUGUCCACCUUAAUCUGUAAAUGCCUCUUUGGCAGGAAAGAGCAUUCAGUCUGCCCUAAUUGGAGGCUCCUGCCUGGCUUUCACAUCUGCUAUACUGGACAUUGGCGGCAAUACUACGAGAGUGGACAACGGCAAAGAAUACUAUGCCUACACAACCGAGAAGAAGCCUGCUCAUUGAUUUAAGCUCGUGUACUUGUAGCACAAAUCAUGCAAGCCAUCAGCUCGGUGAAUUUUGAAGUUGAUGCGCGCUUUUAUGUCUGUUUUGCUGAUGCACUUAGUUCCUUUGCAAAUCCAUGGCAACUUGUUUGCCUCUGAUGCUUGAGAGGGACGAACAUAACGCUCAGAAUAAAUCUUUGAUUUGCUUUCUUGUGAUCAUUGAUCAGUAUAAACGCACGUGGCGCAGUAUGAUGUGUAAUUCUCUACUUUCCCCCUUGAUAGAACAUGGAAUGCAGCUCCUUUAUUGUGAUAAUGCCUCAGAACAAGAACGCAUGACAAUUCAUCAUCAAUAGUUGGUAGGAAAAAAAAGAAACCUCAAACAGCGGGCUAUAAAUAGUGAUAUAGACAACAAGAAGCAGUCUCUAGGAUAAUCUUUUUUUAGUAGCUUAGUGUUUAUCUUUUUUUAGUAGCUCAGUGAUGUAGGGCAACGAAGAUGGACGAUGGCCGGAACCGGAUACGCCAGACAUCAGUGUAGAUAAAUAAUUACAAUUGCAGUAGGGCAAGCUUAAAACCAUCAACACAAUGCAAGCUCCUCAAUGUUAACAACACUAAGUUUGUGCAUACCAAUGCUAAAAAGAAGACUACCAAAAUUAACAACCUAUAGAUGAAUGUUAUUUCACUAUGCACGGGAAAGGCACAUGUAAUUUAGAGCAGCAGUUACUCACGAACACACGCUAAGUCAAUAGAAACCAGAAAUUGUAACGCCACUGUUGGUUAACAAUUUUGUGUAACAACCUUGGGACAAAAUGUGUAUCGACUACAAACUUAUUAGUUGCAUGGAUUAACCUUUACAUCAGUGGUCUAUCAAUGACGAAACAAUUGUGUUGUUUCUCGUAAAGAUUAUUGAACCCCUAGGAACCUCGCCAAAAUAAAUGAACUCACUCUUUGCCACCAUGUGGACGUGACAAUCCCUAUGGAAGUAAAAACUGAAAUCACCCUAGAAGCCCAAAACUGUUACAAAAAAAGAACUUCUCUAGCCCCUAUGACUUCUGUUUUGACUUCUGCUUCUUCGACUCCAAUGUCGUCCCCAAUCCAACCGGUGUGUUGCCAGUUGACUUGACAGAUGGCCCGUUGGUAUCUGCGGCCUUCACUUCUGAAGCAGUUCCGUUUUGAGCAGGUCCGUUAGAUGCCUGACCUUGCGAUGCUGAUUCUUGAGUGUUUGCAGUGGCAGAGGCGGUAGACGCUGCAGCAGCUGAGUUGAUAAGUUUGAGAAUCUGAGCAAGUUCAUCGGAUGCAUUGUUUGCAACAGGCCCACUGCGCACAUUAAGGCCUCUUGCAACAGCUUUCUUCCGAGCUUCUGCAGUUGCUCGAGCAGCUCGCUCAUCAACCCCUCUCAAUCGUGGUAGACCUUCUCCCACAACUGCAGCAUUAAGUGAUCUGUUGACAUUUGCUGAUCCAUCACCUGAUUGGAUAGCAGCAGCCUUCAUUGCUUGUAAAAAUGCAGGAUUUGCCUGAAGAUGCAGCAUGGAAAAAAUUCAAUGCCACCAUAAAUCAAAAUACUGGAAUUGAUAUCCACAUCAGGAAUACUAAAAAAGAAAUUGUGGAAUGAGAUAAUAUAUGCAGAGUAGAAGUAGCAUACAAGCAUAGUAAUAUAAAAUACUCCCUCCGUCCCAAAUUACUGUUCAUUUUGACUACGUUUCUAGACAUACCAUAUAUCUAGGUGCAUAGCAAAAGGUAUGGACCUAGAAAAGCCAAAACGAAUAGUAAUUUGGGACGGAGGGAGUAAAAAAGAACAAGGAUUAUGAUCAAACAUUACUACCUAACAGUCCUGGUUUCUUGGAGGCAUAUGGAUAAAGGCAAUAAAGCCAGAUGAAUUUCAGUUAGCGUAGAAGGAAUGUUGAAAUUUGCUUACCUUCAAGAAUUUAAUAGCAUUAUCAGAUGCAUCAGUUCCCUGGCCCUUUUGCUUCUGGGCGUUAACCUGUGCAAAUAGACGAUAAAAUAUUGGUCGUGCAAGCAUAUAAAAGGUAUACAGAGCAUCAGACUAAAAACAGUGCAUUUUUGGAAAGAUUUUGCAGUACCAGUACAAUUAUAAUUGAAUAUUAGGAAACACUCAGGAAUCUUAGGGUCAUAAGUUAAUCGACCAGUAAAAUUUCUCGCUGAGUGCAAAGCUUAUAUAACUAGGCCUAGACAGUUGGUUUAUAAACUGUAUCCAGUGUUUGUAAACUUCAGCUUCCAGAAAAUGAAAAUGGAUCGUGCUGGGGGAAAAAUCGCAAAAACCUAGGCUUUUCAGUUUGCACCAAAUGCACCAAGGUUCCUAACAGGAAGACCAACAGGCAACAACCUUUCACAACCAGUUCUGUCACAAAACGAGCCAACAGAAAAUCCCCAGUAAACAACCCAUCAGCAACCAAAAUGUACAAGCACUGAAAUCAACGAAGAUGCACUGAGAUCCAUGUUGUCAAGUUCUUGUGAAAAGGUUGUCUCGGUGCUAGGGUUUUUUCAAGGGCUGAAAACUGAAGAAAACUAGGUUGUAUAAUUGACGUGUGAAAUGGUUGUCUCGGUGCUUGGGUUUUUUCAAGGGCUGAAAACUGAAGAAAACACUGAACCCCAACGGUAACCAAACCACGAAAAAAACGAUAACUUAAAUGGUUCAGGUUCGGUUCAGUUCUUCUGUGUCAAUGUAAAUAUGCCCAGCCCUACGCAUAACACAAAUAUACUGAACGAUUUAGCCAAAAUCACAAUCCAUCAUUCUCCUAAAGAUAAUUAUGCAAUACACCCCCCUUUGCAAUAUUCAGAAAAGUAGAACGCUAGCUAAUCAAACAAUUCCAGAAAUUAUACCUGCUCUUCUCGAACCUUAAAUGUACCCAACCAAUUUUCUGAGUCCUUAGUCCGAGAGUCAUUUUCCCCUAAUUGUUUUGCCAGUAUAUCAUAAGUCUUCUUUUCAUGCUGUCAUGAAAAGCCAACACGUCAGGUCAACAGUUUCUAAUAAUUAAUGCUUGUAUAAAUUUGUAUAAGCCAAUAUUUUAUGUCAGAACUAACCUGAAUUGAAAGCUUGUAUAAUUGCAUACAACUGAAUGCAAUUGCAAGGGCAUGAUAGCAAACGGCUGUUUGAACAUGAUCUGGACCAAGAAGCCGCUCAUUCUUCAUAAGUGCUUCUUGGAGAUACCUAAGAGCAGUAUUCAUAUUACUGGCAUCCUGGUACAUCAUUGCAACAUUUAUGAGUGUUGCUGCAACAUCCGGGUGAUCAGGACCUGACGCCAAACUUAGAAGAAGCAGUGUGCGGGACAUGUGUCGCAGUGCGAGUUCAGUUUGAUUGAGCCCAUGAUAGAAUAAAGCCAUGUUACCAUAACUGCAAAAGAUAUGGAUUCCAAAGAAAGUAAGACUUCCACGAUAAAAGAUAGUAAAAUGCAUGUGCCAAAGCAAAGAAUAAAGAAUAGUAUGCUCUUUGUUUAAUGAACAUUAAAAAUAUAACAUGGAAGUUAUGCACAAACACUAAGAAGAAGCUGAAAAAAAUCUGACAACUUAAUUUCUUGCAUGACCUACUCGCCCAGCAACUAACCUAAACAUUCAAAUUUUCUAGCAGAUGUUCAUUUUCCAGAACAAACUUAAUGGAAACUUUUCAGUGAAAUUCCAUUUGUUCCUUCACAAUUUAGUACGAAUGAUGGGAUUUAGCGUUGGCUGCAAGUUCUCCAACGAAAACAUCAAAUUAAUGUGAGAUUUAAAGACAGCAUCAAAAUUCUAGAAGUAUGUUCGAAUUAAAAAGCAGCACAUACCUGUGGGCUGUGUCCGGAUGAUCAAGACCAAGACAUCGCUCGUUUAUAAUGAGUUCUCUAUGCUGCUGCACAAUUGCUCCAGCUGUAUCACCAGCAUGGUACAAAACCAUAGCAAGGUACCUAUAACGAAACGAGAACAAAGAUUUCUUUUAAGAAUUUGAAUCUUAUUGUACAGAGCAAUAAAAGCAAAUAGUGAGUCGCGAAAAAAAGAAAAGAAAAGUGGUAACUGCUUGACUUCUAAACAUAUUCUACAUGUGACUGGACAUCAUAUCCCUCAUGUAAUAGUCCUCGGACAUACAUGCACAGCAGCACAAGGCACUUCAUAUGGGUGAAAACAGUAGACAUGUACACAACUACACACUAAAGAGUGGCAUAUAGCACGAUCUACAAAAUGGAGAAUGCAGCGUAAAAUAUCCAUUAGAUAGUUGAAGUUCUCAUAAUGUGUGCCUUCCUUAUGGAACAAUACCAAUACAAUAGCGAUGUAUUAGGAAGUUAGCAUACUACCGGCAACAGUUCGCAGCAUCCUUGUGCAUGGGACCAGUUAUCUGCAAUUUCAAAGGUCAAGUAAAUACGAGAAGUUCUGCAGAUGUCAUAAAUAGCUUAUGUGCAUACCUGUUGAAGCAGUGAAAAGGCUUCAGAAAACAAUGCAUAGGCCUCAUUCAGGGUUCCCUGAAAUGCUCAAGUGCAUUAAUAAAUUUUCCACAGAUGAGAAAAGAAUAACAAACAAAGGUAAAUUUUGGCAAAAACCAUAAAACCACAAGAGGUAUACCUCAGCCAUCCUGACUUUCCCUGCUUCCAUAAGAUUCUUUGCGUCAGUACAGGUAGGAACCGAAUGCUUGACAACUGGUUGGAGAUUUAAUAUAUCUGAAGCUUCGAAUGGAGUUGAAGCAUCCAGAUUGUAUUUGCGGGCUGCAAUAGUUAUCCCUACCUGUUAUGCGUAGAAGAAACAGUGACAGAAAUUAGUGGAUGUACAAACAGCGACAUAUGAUAAUCUUAACAUGCCAUCUAUAAACAGAAUAACAAUGGUCAUUAUUUAGUAAAAUACGCACACUGGAAUUCCUUGAAUGCCAAACUACUUCAAUUUGUCAGUAAAUACAAUAACAAUGCUACAAACAGAAGUACCAUGGCAAGGUAGAACGGUACCAACCUUUUGGCAAAGAUUGCGGAGAACAGAAACCCUUUUGGCUGAAAGCCUUGCAUCAUCAGGCACUUCAAACUAAAAGAAACGAAAACCAUUACAAUUAGUGUGUUCUUCAAAUAGAAAAGUUUUUAAGGCCUGAAAUAAAUGAAUUACCUGAUAUUUAGAUUUUGCGAAUUCCUUAAUACUAGACCAAAUUCCAUCAGAUGUUAGAUGGGAAUAUGUUGAUAAGCCCUUUCUUGAAGCAGCAGAAUUGUUUAGUUUCUGGCCCUUCGUAGACUUUUGAGUUUGGCUAUUUUCAUGACCCUGAAAAUACCAAAAGGUUUUACAGUUACAAUAUGAGCUAAAACACCAAACAUAUCUACUAAGAUAUAUCAAGACUCGAGAGUAGAGUUUGUUGCAGAUAUAAGUGUCACAAGAUUGCCACGCUUGGGAUCACAUACCUUCUUUGACUGGGCAUUGCCAAGGUUACCCUUUGUAGAUGCACCCAAAACUUUCCCAACAAAACAGUUCAAGAAAUGAGCAAUAGCUGGUCCAAUAUCAUGAUCCAGGCUUUGCCUCAAUAUUUCCUUGAGUGAUAAAAAACAAUUGGGUAAGCAUACAAGUAGAUGUCGACCACGAUAGAAGGAAGUAGACAUGAAUAACUAUAACAAGAUGACGUGAACUGAAUGGAUUGGUACAACAAAUUGAAUAUAUCUUGCAGCCUGCACUAAACUAUGCAGAAAAAUAAAUCAUUCACGUUACAGGAGUAAGACAGCAUUAACUGGAUGUAUGCCAGUCAGAAAACCAAACAUUUAUUAUAAUUUUACACAUUCCUAUGUUUAUAAAAAUUUGCAGCAAAUCCUUUCAUAUAACACCCCGAAAGAAACAAACUCAGGAGCUAGCAUAAUAAGAAAAGAUAUACUACCUUGAUCACAUGCUUUGCAGACCUAACUAUUAUCUCAGCAGAAAACAAAUCCCACAGAUGUGGUAAAUGUUUGAUCAUGCCUGCAAUCUGAGAGAAGAAUUAUACUAUGAGCAGGAUAGAUGAAAUGUAAUGUCAAUGUCAGCUGGAUCAGCAUGGAGACUCACUUUGCCCAGGUACCUAACAUUUAUCCCAUGGAGAUGCAGUGCAUCGGUUAAAGUUUGUCCAUCCAUAGGAGAGAUAUCAAGGGAGCAAAGGUCCUGAACAAACUUCGGGAUCACUAUUUCUAAAAGAUAUGUACCAGCCCUUUUUACCAACUCUUCAUCUGCAGAAAUUUCCUAGUAAUAGAAAACAGUAGAAAGUUAUCAAAUUGGAAUAUGGUUAUUUUACAAAAAGUAGUUUUGAAGACCAACCUCUGGACUGCCAGCAAGCUUGUACUCUGUAAACACGUUCGGAUUGAAAAAGAUCUCGGCACUUGAGUUGUCAUUUUCCUCACGUGUAGGAGCAGAACUUUCUUCAGACUUGUCAUCAUCUUCAACAGAGGAAGCCUGAAAUGAUGGAAAUAAAUUUCCAGCUUACAAAUGUAAUGUGAAACAAUACCUUAUUUUAUUCAUCUUGUCUAGUCCCUUCGACCUAUGUGAGCACAAACUAAUUCAAUAAUCAUCAAGGGUUAAACUGGCAACAGUGAUUUGUUAUACACCACUGGAUAUGUGACCUUUAGAUAACCAAAUUAUGAUCAUGGAUGCAAAACUGGAGGGACAUUUGAACAGCACAAAAUAAGACAAAUUCAACGAUCUUGCUUUAUUGGAGUUGCGUAUGAUCAGUAGCUUAUUUAAGUACAGCGCUUCUGAGCAAACAGCCAGAACAACUAGAUUCUAUGAGCGCAAACCUUUGCAUCAGAAGUACUCGCAACUUGGUCAUUGGAUUCUUCCGAAGCAUCUGGAACUUUCUGCCUGGUGGAUUGCUUGGUCGAUUCAGCCUGCUCAAAUAUAAAUAAAAUGCAAUUAGAAAUUUUCACAAAUGAAACCAUGCAACAGCUUGACAAAUAAGGUUAAAAGAAUAUGUGAUGAGCUGACCUCAACAAAUGAGGCUACAAGUUCAGGUCUCAACACGCAGAAGCGAUGCUCUUGCCCAAUGUAGUUAGAAUCUCGCGGAGUCACUCUCAUCAAAUCUAAAAUGUAAUGCCUACAUAAAGGAAUAAUCCAAACAAUUUAAACAAAUAUAUUGAUAUGACUACAAGGCCUCAUGCUAUUAGUGUAAAAGGAAAAGGAAUAGCUCGCAAGAAAAACAAAGUAACAACAAAAAUGGAGAGAGAGAAUUUUUUAUUGUUUACAGUUCAUGUAAUGUUAACAGGAUUGCCAGAACCCAACCUGCUCCUUGCAUUCGUAGAAAAAAUGUAAAAGUAAUUACCAAGUGCUGAGCCUUUUAAGCAUUAAAAAUUAAAAUGUAACAAGUGUUUUCAUGUUUGAACAGAGACCAGUUUUCUUCAAAAAUAAAAUUACCUGUCGUCACUUCCAACAAUGCCCUUACAUUCGACUGUAGCAGCUAACUUUACAGGGUUGCCAGAACCAUCCAAAACCACAUGCUCUUUCAAAUGGAGCCGCUUUGCAGCCUCGACUACCUAAAGCAGCAAUAGCCAACAUAGAAUUAACAAUAAAUACUCGAAGGACAAGGACGACAAAAAAAACUGAAAUUAUAUUAAUAUAAGCUUGGAGUGUAAACAGGAAUGUUGAAUUAAAAAACCAUUGCCAAAAGCUGGGUAGAAACAUGUACAUAGAAUAGAAUAAAUAUGUAGCGUACCAUGACAGAUAACCACCAAAGAACUAAGAAUCAAGUGUGAUCAUUGCAAGUUUCUUAUACUCGCUAAUGAAAUUCUAGUAAAGACCUUCAACAGAAACAAAUAAAGAUGCCCAACAAAACCCAAGAUGCAAGGAACUCAGUCACCAACAAUUUUGAAACAGGCAAAAUAGUAACUCAGUAAGCAAUACUAAGUAUAUCAUGCAAUUUUAGUUGCGGUGCUGGUACUUUAAACCAACUCCUAUCAAUUAUCAUAAUACUUCAUUGCGGCAUCAGUUAACAUAAAUUUGAACUGGACUAGAUGUUGAGGUUCACACCAAACUUUGAGUCCCCUAACAAAGAAACUAAAAAUGACUUUUCAGAUUUCUUUCAACAGAGAAAAUUGUCCACUCUUGCAUUACAAUUUACCUUUGAAUGGAAAGAUUCAUUCCAAGAUAUCUUCUUGCCAUUAUCAACAGAACCAUACAGAAGGGAAUCAGACUUGUCUCCUUGGAGAAUACCAGGAAUGAUACUCUACAAGUCCAGAAUAAUUGGAAAAGGCACAUCAGUAGCAGCUUAGCUUGUCGUUUAUGACAUCUUAAAAUAAUAUAUUAAAAUUACAGAAAUGCAUGGUUCAAACAGCAAAAGAUUCUAAAAGCGUUAUAUACCAGAAAAUGUUUACUAUACAGACCUGAGCUACAACCCUGUGACCUCUGUAAUCAAUUAUUGCCAUGGCAAGAUUGUAAAGGCCAGAAAUAUCAGCUUCUUGAUAAGCCUUAGUUCCUUUUAAAUCAUUGUUUGCAGAAGCAUAGGUCGCCUGCUCACUAUCUGCAAUUUGUGCCUCUGCAGAUGCAUCCGAACUAAUGUCUGAAACACUGUUGGAUACCUCCAUGGAUCCACCAUGGUUCAUACCAGGCUUAGCCCCCACAUCCGGUGAAGAAACUUUAGUGCUUUUGCUGGGCCCAUUUUGGCAGUCUGGCUUUUGAUCCUUUGAAAUGUGUUCAUAGUCAGAAUCGACAGCAAAACUAAAGAAAAUGUUGUUGUGAACAUACCUGGAACAUAAAAAUAAAACAGGUAAGAAGAAAGUAAAACAAUAUUAUCAAGUUACUCAAAUAAGAGUUGAUCAGGCAUAUAUACAUCGGAACAAGGUGGCUUCGUGCCCACUACGCGCUAUCAUCAUCAUCAUAUAUAAACUCAACAUUACACCGGUACCCAAAUCCCAUAUCAAAACAUACGCAAAUCCAGACAUCAUAUAUAAAAGUAUAUUGCCAGCAACUGAUUAUAAACUUACUAAUCCAGUACAGCAAAUAAUCUUUUGAGGUCAAGCAGUCUGAUCUUAAGGCAGAAGCAGGUACAAAGGUGCUAUGAGAAACAUUAUUCUACUCUCGAAGGCUAUUGUAUUUACUCACAUAUGAAAACAUUCUGGAUCAGUUGGAUUAAUUGGGGGUAUGCAUCUAUUAAUGACACCAACUGCCCCUUUCACAGCAGCAUCAACAAAAUCACAUGUUACUUUGUAGAGAGCUCUGCCACGCAAUAUCCUGAAAUGGGCAAUAAAUAAUGAGUUCCUACAUGUAUAAAGCAGGCAAUCCAUAAAGUGCAAUAGUAACUAUUAACUAAAGAACCUUUCUUGAGGAUUCCCGUGCGGAAACUCCCGACAGGACUGCAAUUCUUCAUUCCAGUCUCUCUGCAUGCCAAUCAGUUCAGUGCCAUAUGAUAACACCACAGACUCCUCAGCCCUGGCGGCAUCCCUUCUAUGCUCUGUUACACAUACGAAUGUGGAGUGCCUUCAGAUCUCAUAAGACAUGAGUGCAUACCAGAUUAAUAUUAGUAAGGUUAUAUCAAGAUAUUUAUAUCAAUAUCAAAUAUCAUUAAUAAAGAAAAUUAGAAGGGUAAGAGGUUCCAAGACAUGGCAGGCACUGGCUGAAAAGGAAUCAGUAUGGCGGCAAUGCCUAUGUAGUUUAUAAAGCCAAAAGUACAAGUUGAAACAAGAUAUAGAUAGUGCUUGGUAUACUAGAGUUAUAGCUGAAGCAUGCCUAAGGCUGGCUAUCUGGCCAAUUUCUUGCCACAGAAAUGUAGGGGGAAAGUAACAUUAGGCAAGGAUAUAUAACAGUUUAAGCCAUGCCAGCACCAAAGCAUCCAAAAAUACAGUAUUGGAUAGCUGUUUUAGAGUUGUGAUCAAUAACAUGGUCAACAAGGAAAUCUGCUGGCAAAAUUACCUGGAACAGGAUGAGCACCUAACCAAGAAGUCACUGGAAGCAAAGACUGAACAUUCUCAAAUGGAUGAGCCGAUGCCCUACGAUCCAAGAUUUCACGAAAACCUUCAAAAGUUUUGUCCAAUUGUCAGCAUAGAUUAAACAGUGUGGUGAGACCAACACCUUACAGAUAAAGCCUAGAUUAAUAGCAAACCUUUCUUAAACUUGGCACUGAUUUUCUGUAGUAAACCUACAAGAGUGCUGGCCUCCAGACCUUGUUUUGUAGGUUUUGGGUCCAAUAUACUUCCAUUGCUACAGUUCACGUAAAAAGAUUUGGAGUUUCCUGUAAUGCAGUACUUGUUUCCUUCUAAUGUGACAACAUCAAUAUAAAUGAGAUCUCCAUGCAACCUGAGGAAAAGCAUCAGCAGGAGUUAAUUCAAAAAAAUCCCUACUCAAGGGUGACAAGCUUAUGACAAUGUUACAGGCGUUCAGGGUCUUAAGCCCAUUAGGCAUACAUGCAUCUAUUAACAAGAAACAAAUGCAUCCUCAGAAAAGGAAUACACAGAACAACCAAACACUACAUUAUCCAGAAUUACUGCAUAACAAAAAAAAGGAAGGAAGGAAGGUGAAGCAUCCUAGCCCAAAUAAACCUUUAGCCACAUGCCCAGAGUUGGCCAAACUUAAGGAAAUAUUGAAUGAUGCUUCUAUGCUAGUUUGAUUCACCCUUUGGGUUAAUAAAAUUGUAAAGCACAGGCAGACAAGCUAAAGGCUGACUUAACUUAUCAAGCACUCCAAUAUUUGUGGAAAACAGAAAGUAUAUAGCACCAAAGUACUAGCUAUAAUCUUUUCAUUGCAAUGUAGCAUAGAUUAAAAAGCUAAUUGUACUCUUUCCAGAGUUCUACAAACAGGUCUUAACUUUCAGAACUUAUAUGGCUUGAUAACAGCACAGUUAUAUUGAAAGUGAGAGGAUCAGAUCACAUUGACUGAUUACAACAGAAUGAAGUAACCGUUGAAUCGGGCCAACUACGAAACCUAGCUGACUUAUUUUUAUAAAUUAUAACAAUGGGUCUAAAAAGAUAUUCAAGGAUAACAUGACAAUGAUAAAAAUGCCAGACAUCAGAAUUACCUCCGGUAACUUGGUGGAGGAUUGAAAGACGAAAAAACUAUGCUUUCAACGCAUUUUAUCUCUGCUUGUGCAGAUGCCAAUAAAUUAGUGAGAGCACCAGCAGUAUCCUCCAUAAAAUUUAAACCAUCAAGCUCCUGAAUAACGGUUUUCUCAGAAUCUGCUCAGCAGGGUUAGAAUCAAAGUCAACAUCCACAUCAGGUUCAUUUAAGAUUUGCAUGCAAACCACAGUUUCACUAACAAACAUUACAGUUGUGAAACACCAAAUAUGGAAAAUAUGAGUAAACCUGCAGACCAAAAAAGUGGGAGCUGAUGCACCUGCAGAUUUUCCCUGAGCAGACUCCUGCUGCAGAGCUAAGGAUGUGGACAGAGAAACAUGAAGACUUGAGAGUGAUAGUAGCUCCCUCACACGUCGGAGAUGCGACCUAAUAGACCUCUCAUCAUAUAUUGCUGAAAGAAGAUUUGCGUCAGCUCCAUGAAAUAAAUGUUGAUGGAAAAAUAGAGAAGAAACUGAAACAUGUUACAUACCCGCAACCAUCUCUAAUGAACAGCCACCGGAAGUUAUAUCUGCAAUUUCAGAUAUUUCAUUGUAGUCCUCUAACUGAUGAGUUGAACCAUCUUUAGUAUGCAAGAUCAAAUCGUAGCAUGUAUAGAAGCAAGUUUCAGGAGCAUCCAAGAGGAAUUGUUUGACAUCAAUGACAGAAUCUCCAGGGCUUAGCUGUAAAUAAUAGCAUAGAAUGAAAUACAUUGAACUAGUAAAGAAAAAUAGAGAAACAAAGAAAGCUUUUUACAGUACCUGCAACUCAAGCUUUUCACCGGAUUGUGUCCUGACAGGAACAGAGUACAGAUAAAGCUCUCCUGCUCCAGACAACAUAUUUCCUUGUUAAAGAAGCAGCAUAUGUGCAGGAAUUUUCCAUUAAAAAAGCAUGCAAGAAAGGAAUUUAAAGCAAAAAACAACACAUAAAAAAUGCUAAAAUUCCAUAGAUAGAAGCUCACAUAGUCCAACUGGAAUGUGUAAUCUAAUUAAAAUGACGACUCUAACAGAGCUAGGCCAGAAAAUUUUUAGACCAUUAUAUUAGUACAAGGGACUUCUUACUAUUUUCAAUAUAUUUAUAUCCAGAAUUGUUAGUUUUGGCACAGCCACAUAAAGCAUCGCAGCAGCAUACAACAUGCCACUCAUUUAGCAUAGGUUCAGUCCAAAUCACAUAAUCAUUAAAUGAAAAGUAUUUGGGCCACUUGUAAAGCUGCAUCCAUGUAGAACACCAAGGUGUUCACUGUAUCGCUAUUCAUUAUUGAGUGUUACAAUACAACUACAGUAUGACAGUAUCAUCAGUGAAGCAAACAAGCCGUGGUCUCACCUUCAGCUUGCUUUUUUGCAGGCUGUGCAGCCACUGGCGCAUCCCCCUCCGACUUCUCGGCAUCUGCAACACCGCCCUCUGCAGCAGGGGAUUCAGUUACUUCCCCAUUCUCUGGAUUGACCACUUCGCCGCCGUCAGUGACCGUCAGCUCUGGCUCGGCCGGAACGGACUGACCCGUGCCCUGUGCCUUCCCCUUGUUCUUCCCACCCUUGGACUUCCCCGCCAUAUUCCUGCUCAAGCCAGAAACCAGCAAUAGCAAAUCUAAUCAGCCCCCAUAAAAAUACAAUUUUUAGGCGCAACAAACACCGCGGCUCUCUAAAGCGGCCGAGAAACAUCGCCAGCUCCACUAAACCCCCAACGGAACCAAGCCCCGGUCGAGCGCACGAUCCGCAGCAGGAUCAAAACCCUAAACCCCUCCCACCAAAUCGAGACCCCUCGAGCUCAGCGGAACGCGCGAACCAGACGGAUUCGAUCGAAGUAGCAUGCACGGAGAGGGGAUUCGGGUGGGGGGAUCGAGGGUGACCUGCCGCUGCCGCCGCCGCCGCCGGCACGGAAGCUUCGGCUCCGCGAGGAUGAGAGGCGGCGCGAGGGCGAGGCGCUGAGGGAAUGAUUGGGCGAGGGGCUGUUUGGGUAAAGCGGGAGGAGGGAGGCUGCAGCCCUCGCCGGCCGCUCCUUUUAUACGGGUGGGCGGACCCUCCUAAUCCCCCCGUGGGCACCUGGCCUCUUGGCCUCUUGGGGCUCUCGGUGAGGCGCUCCCGUCGCGUCGGGUUGGCUUUCUCUUCUUGUUUUCCCAUAGCCGCGCCUGCGCACGCGAGGCGGUGAUAUUUCUGGCGUCCGGUAGGGGUAAUUUUGGUAGUUUCUGUGGGAGCCCACCUCGGCGUGGGAUUUAGGAGGGCUGUUAGGGUUUUGCGUGGGGUUUAGGCGGCUCAAAGACUCUGGCGAACGCUGACUAACGAAGAUGUCAAGUAACUAUUGCCUUCUUCUAUGUUAGCGUUUGUAAUAUCUUGUCACACGUGAGUGUAGUGUCGUUUGUGUUUGUUGACAUCUUUGAUCAUCUUAGACUAACUUUUUAUUACUCGUUUUGUUCUAAAUUGUAGGUCGUUUAUAAAUAUUUAUAAAUCUAAUAAAGUCAAAACGACCUAAAUUUGGAAUAGAAAGAGUACAUGGCAAUAUAGGAGCAUAGCAUUAGAAAUUCAGAGAAAAAUAUAUUUUGGAAAGUCAUGCUCAUGCUUUAUGCAUCGAACUAAAAUUGGUUGUUUUUAUUCCCUAAUCAAUCGGUGUGUGCUAUGUAGAUUCCGUUACUUCUUACACAUGGCCAUAAUAACUGUGACAUGCUCAUCACCUGUGGUGGUUUUAUUGACGUGUCAUCACCUGUGGUGGUUUCAUUGACCUGUUUAGGAACUUGACCCUCAAGUCAUGUGUAAAUGUAGUUUUGGAUGUGUACGCGGAUGGUGGAUGGUGUGAAUGGAUGUACCAAUGUUUGCGUGAGGCUUACGGCGUGGGAAUCCACACGUGUAGAAAAAAGGUUCUCAUAGCAUCUAGUGUUGCUACUCAAUCUACGUAGAAUUAGAAACGUUCUAGCCAUGGGAGUAACGGACCGAACUUUAUCAUACAUUUCUAAUCUCAAAAAAAAUGAGGUAGUACAUGAUUUGAGAUCCAUCCAAAUACAAAAUCGAUUGUAGAAUCAACAUAUAAAAUUAUCGAAAAUUGACCAUCUCCUAUAAAUUUUUACGGCACCUUGUGUUAUAUUUUAUUAUUUGAGCUAAAAAGAUACUCCUCCGCCCUAAUAUUAAUUAUCAUUAACUUUAGGUUUGUCACAUGUUCAAUUUGUCCAACUUUAACCAAAUUUAUUAAAAGAUACAAUAACAUCUACGAUACCAAAUUAUUUUUAUUAAAUCUACUAUAGGAUAUUUUAAUAAUAAAUUUGUUUUAGUAUAUAUUAUUUUUUUUAUAAAUUUAGAAAAAAUGACAAAUUUGGUUUAAUAUAAAUAAAUAAUAUUUGGGGACCGAGGGAGCAGUGAAUAAUGAUCCAUGUAUUAUGUAUCCUAUAUUCAUGUAUAUUUAUAUAUAGCUAUAUUUUACCGGUCCAUGACAUAAUAAAUUGGACAGAUCUUGCACCAUUUAACUAGGAUAAGAAUUAUCUGUCUCACAACGACAUUGAUUCAUGCGUCGGUAGGUAGAUGUAAGAUAUUGCCUGUUGGCAACGCAGCGGAGACAAUCGAUAGUGCACAUAUAUUUAUUCGAAUGGGAAACAUGUUUAAUUUUAGCGCAUGUAUUGCAUUUCCUUCUUCAAUUCAGCAUACUUUUGAUCUUUGGAAAAAAGAAAAUGUCAAGUCAGAAAGCAACCGCGAGUGGAUACACAGAAGGCUUUUUGUCGAUCUGGACGCACACCUCCAAUCGCGUGCGCUAGUGUGCAGCUGCGGCCCAGACCGCGAGGAUCUCUAUCCAAAUUCCAAGCCGGUUUCGUGCGCACCCGGUUUGGCGUUCCGGCUCCGGCUCUCCCUCUCCGAUCCGUUACUUGACGCAUCACUCCUCCCCUGCCCCAGGCUUUCCAUUCCCACACCACACCGCACCAAUCACCGCCGCUGCACCGCGCGGGUGCCUGAUCCUCCCUCGCAUUUCAACUCGCCCCUCCCGCUCCGCGCCGCGCAGCCGCAGCCGCAUGGACCUCCCCGUGGUGGAUCUCGCGCCGUUCCUCGGGACCGCCGCCGGCGGCGGGGCCGCGGAGGUGGGGGAGGAGGUGCGCGCCCUGUGCGCGACGGUGAGCGCCAGCCUGCGGGACACGGGGGCGCUGCUGGUGAAGGACCCGCGCUGCUCCGCCGCCGACAACGACCGCUUCCUCGACGUCGUCGAGCGCUACUUCUCCCGAUCCGCCGAGGCCAAGCGCCUCCAGGAACGGCCCCACCUCCACUACCAGGUAGCCCCUCCCUGUCGCUUCUCUGUAUCCUACUAGGCAGACUCUGCAUUCGGUUUGGUGCGGAUCGGGGGCGAAAGUUUGGGAAUUCGGAAGGUUCUGAACCCAAAAUUCACCCCUCUGCCUCUGGCAAGGAGGAUCAUCACUGCUUGUGUUGAAUCAAGACCACCAGGGUGAUCCCCGUGACUGUGAUCCGUCCUAUGGCUUAUCGAUCCAUCCUAUGAUUGUGCUCAAUGUAUGUGGUGAAAACCGAAAAACCUGAUUUGUCCCUGUUCCUGAUAAGGUUGGCGUGACACCAGAAGGGGUGGAGGUUCCUCGCAGCUUGGUCGACAAGGACAUGCAGGAGAAGAUCAGGAGUAUGCCCGAGGAGUUUCAGCCAGCCACCCCUAAAGGCCCAGACCCGAAAUGGCGGUACAUGUGGAGAGUUGGUCCUCGGCCCGCAAAUACCCGCUUUAAGGUUGCAAUUCCUCUGUGACCUUUUCCGUGCGAUGUCAAAAUACUUGCUUUAAGGUCGAGAUUCCUUUGUGAUCUUUGCUGUGUGCUGGAUGGUAAACUGGUGAUUUGGUUAUUCUGGUCACUGAGCUGUAAGUAUCCUUGUUUAGGAGCUGAACUCUGAACCUGUUAUCCCUGAUGGAUUGCCUGAGUGGAAAGAGACCAUGGAUUCCUGGGGUUCCAAGAUGAUUUCUGCAAUUGAGGUAGAUAUAUGCUUUGCUUAGCAACUUUUCUGAAUAAAUCUAUGUUUUCUGCAUUCUUUGCACACUGUACGGUGCUGCUGUAUCAUACAUCACUUAGUUGUGCCAUAUGGUUUUCAUAGGUUGUUGCUGAGAUGGCUGCAAUUGGAUUUGGCUUGCCAAAGGAUGCAUUUACUUCUUUGAUGAAGGAGGUACUAUUCUACUCUAUUCUCUGCGUUUUUUAGUUCUGUUGUAAUUUUUAAAUCUACUUGAACUGCAUGCUCUUAAAAAAUGCCAGGUCCCUUCGUUGUGUUUACUUAGUAACUUAAAAGUACCCUAGUGGGUUCUAAGGUUUAGUGUCUGCUCCAUAUUCCCCUUAAAAAGAUGUAGUAUGGGAUUCAAGUUCUUUGAUAAUCUGAUUGCUAUUGCUCAAUUAUUCUUGUGGAUACUAGGGACCGCACCUUCUAGCCCCAACUGGAAGUGACCUGCAGCAUCAUGGUUCUGAGGGCACUGUUUUCGCUGGGUUCCAUUAUGAUCUUAAUUUCUUGACUAUACAUGGCCGAAGUAGAUUUCCAGGCCUGAACAUCUGGUUAAGGAACGGUAAAAAGAUGGAGGUGAAAGUCCCUGUUGGCUGCCUCCUCAUUCAAUCGGGGAAACAGGUUAGCUUUUCCACUUUUAAUGAACUUAUCGUCAUGAAUUGUUUGGGGAUCAACCUUUUUCCGUUUGUUGGUAUCAUAUUUGCUUUGUUCUAUCUUAUGAGCACUUGUUUUCAUAGUCCACGAUGUUGUCAUCAUAGAAAUCAGCCCUACUGUUAUAUAUGACUCUUUUUUUUCCUGAAAAAUCAAAUACUUUAUGCUUCCACAAAAGUGGUAAACAAGAGAGAACCGGGGCCUAAUUCUGGAAUCUUAGAUGUGGCUGUGAAAUAAAGAAAAGAAGUACUUUACUACUCUUCCCUGAUUAGAUCUGUUUCAUUCUGCACAGCUGGAAUGGCUUACUGGUGGUGAGUGUUUGGCUGGAAUGCACGAGGUGGUGGUGACAAAGAGAACAUUAGAGGCCAUAGCAUUAGCGAAGGAGCAAAAUAGAAGCUUGUGGCGGGUUUCGUCAACAGUAAGUUCCAUCGACUCCCAUACCGUGUUAGUUUGAUCAAGAACUUCAUGAGAAGUUGUUGGCAGUCAAAUCCUAUGUGCUUGACAUGUCAUUGGCUAACCCGUUGUCUGUUUUUGUAAAACAGUUGUUCGCACACAUUGCUUCAGAUGCAAUUCUAAAGCCACUGGGUCACUUCGCUGAAACACCCAAUGCUGAUUCAUAUCCCCCAAUAUGUGCCGGGGAUUAUGUUGAACAGGAGCUUUCAGUGAUUAACCUGAAAGGAAAGGAUGGAUUGUAGACUAUGCAGUGGAUAAACCUGGAUAUCAUGACUGACAGAUAUCAUAACGCAAAACUAAAUUAUCCAAACUGGCAUUUGUCUUCAUUUCCAAAUGAUUCUAUACUGAGGGUGCUUCUCUUCUUCCAAACACACCCUUUUAUGUCAAUAUAAACUAUGCUUGUUCUUCCCUUUGUUAAGAUGUUGGAUACACUAUUGUGUACCGCACUGAUGUUGUGGAAAUUGAAGGAAAAAAAAAUGCUUAGCUUGCAAAUGAAGUGUGCCUGUGUUAUCUAUCUUGCUGCCCAGGAAUGACCUCCAGAAAACCAAUCCUGAAACUGUUAUUCUCCUCCUAGUGCAGUAUGCCAUUAUCUGUAGUGUCUAAAGUAGUUCUGAAUGAGAAAAGUCUUUCCUUCGAUCAAAAUUACACCUCAAGCAAUAAGUUACACUGCAAGCUGCUCGUUCUCAGCACAAAUGACUCACAGAAGUCUACAUAUGUACAGCGACCAAUUCGGAUACCGUACCCCUUUCAUCAGACCCAGUUGUUGGGCAGCGAGAAAUUAUGGAACCUGAAGGACACGUCUCCGGCGGUGUCCCUCUCGUGCAUGAUCCCGGGGUCCACUUCCGUCUGCACCCGCUGCUCGACGUGCGCAAACGAGUUCUGCCGCGGCAACUCGUCGAACGCCGGGGACGGCAAUGGCAGCGGCAGCGGGCAGGGCUCCCGCCCCGGCCGAGCCUUCGCGUCGGAGUUGCCGUCCCACAUGAACACGUGGAGAAAGAUCGGGCGCAGGGCGUGGCGGUGCAGGGACAGCUUCUGGCUGAGGGAGACGGUGUCGAAGCACCGGAUGGCGCCGGACGUGGACACCAUCCAUGGCAGGACCUUGUGGCCCGACACCCUCGAGAUGAUCAGCAGCUUGGACGCGCGCUUCGCCUCCCGGUAGAGGUCGCGGAGCCCCGACCGCGUCGACGGCAACUGGAGGUCGCCGUCGUCCUCCAUGACGGAUGAGACGUAGAUGAAUCCCUGCUCAGAGUCACAAUCGAUUUGAGAGUUCAGGCACAUAAAAAUACAUGCACUAGGACAGGUUGGGAGAAUGUAUAGCGUGUGUUGCCGCUUCUAAAAAGGAUUGUAUAGCGUGCGAGACGGUUCGCGUGUACCUCUUCGGUACGGCUGAUGGCGAAGCCAAGCCUGGUGUCGCUCUCCUCGAGAGUGAUCUCCACCGGCAUUUCUCCGCCCGCGGCCGUGUACCAGACGCGAACCGCCUUCACGACGCCAAUGUCCACGCCGUGGUAGUCCUCGAAGCCGUAGAGGCUGGCGUUGGCGAGGUUCGGGAGGUCGGCCAGUGAGCCCGAGUUGACCGUCGCGGAGGCUGUCUCGCCGGAGAUCUGCACCAAGAACGUUAGAUCAUGGGAGAAAACGCACACGGAUUGGAACAAACAGCGUUCAUACAGACUUGAUUAUUAGUACCCAUACCUUGGUGAGAAGGGCCUCAGUUUGGACGUUCAAGAACACGAUGGGCACGCCGGCCGCCUGGGACGAGAGCAUCCAGGCGUUGGCGCGGGCAAGGGUGUCCUCGACGGAGUUGUAGCGGGAACCGGCGCGGUCGAGCGCCGUGGGCAGGAUGAGCAAGGAGAGGAAGCUGCUGGAGUUGGGGAUCGGUAGCACCUCCCGCAUCUUCUUCUCCCACGGGUAGGACACGUAGCCGUCCUGCAGCUGCGCCUUGCUCAGCGCGCACACCACCCUCGAGCUCCUCGACCCUGAAGAAAUGCAGAAGAGUUACAGUACUCAAAUCAGUGAUUUUCCAGGAUCUCUGAAAUUAUGCAUGUCUUUUUUCUUUGUUUCUGACUUAGUAGAAUAAAACUGAACGAUCAGACCGAUAAAAGUCAACCGGGGAAUCUCCUAAUAAUUGCGUUAAUAAUUCGAGACAGGUUCUUUAAGUCAGAUGAAUAUUCAGCAAUCAGCAAGUGGUUCGCGGUGCAGAAUAAUGAAUCUGGCUAAAUGCUGAUUCCGUUGAACGUGCAUCACCGUGUCUGUUGCCUGGAAGUAUGCAUCUUGAGCUAGACUAAGCAAUUGGAUACUCUUAUUUUUUUACUGACAGGAUCUAAAACAUUGCAUGCGGACCUCCCAGGUUUCAUCGUACUUACCCACCAUAUCUUACGAGGGGCCAUGUUUGAAUUGUUAUUCUAACAUCAAUUUUACAUAAUUUUUAAUAUCAUAUAAUUUCUACACCAGACCAGACUACUAAAUUUUAUGCUAAAACGUAUUUACGGUGGUUCCUCAAAUUUGAUUCAAAAACAUAAAUGCGGUACUAUUUUAAGUAUAGUAGAUUUUCUUUUCAUUAUUAUUUUAAAAUAAUAUUUUUGUGCAGGCGCGCAUGGCGUGCCAAUCUGACUAGUUACUACUAUGACUUACAGUAACCUAAUAUCCGGGUUAGAAUUCUACCAUAGUCUGCAUCGUAUUUUCAGCAAGCUUGCAAAUGCGAGAAGUAACAAGACCUAGUGCUUUUGUAUUGUUCCCAAGAAUAUGCUCGACUACAUAGCAUUGCUUGUAUGCAUCAUCUGGAUCAUAGACUACCUUUAUAAUUUUUCAGGCGAAGCUACUCCAAAAACUUCCCAACAAAUUAACCAGCAGUCUGAACAGUCAACAAAACAAGAGCAGCAAUGAUAUAAGCACCCUCUACAAUCCUAUCCCAUCAGAUCCUGGAUAUUCUGAGCAUAUUCACAGAUAGGACGAAUAUCGGAUCAUGUUUGUACUCCUCGAAGUGAUCAUUUUUGACUGUCGUAGUCUGUGCCGAUCCAAGCAUAUGCCUACCUACCAGCCUAUGCACACUACCAAGCAACCAAAAUCACUAUCCUGAACACGCCCAAAUGUUAGGAAACGAUAAAGCGCCUGUCACCUAUCAAAGCCAGCCUACUUGCUCAACUUUCUGUGCACCAAAGUCCGCAUGCAGAGGGCACAAGCACGCACCUAUCCUUUUUCCCAAGUCCAACCCGGCAUGCAACGAAAACUACGUCGCGGACUUUUACUUUCCACAAACUAAAUCAAAUUGAUGUACGGUCUAAGGGUGGAUCAAAAAAUGAUGCAAAAAUAUCUAAAAUUCAAUCUGCACGGAGAAGAGGAUAAGCAUAUGCUUGGUAGUGGUUGUGAUGCUACCUCUGAUGGCGAUGCACUCGCUCUCCAUGCUGUCGACGAGGCCGACGGCGUAGUUGGGGUCGCGGAUGGAGCGGAGCACGUACUGGCGGCUGCGCCCGAUCAUCCCCCCGCCGCCGCCGCCGCCGCCGCCGCCAACGGACUCCUGCGGCACGAUGCAGGCCUGCAUCCUGGCGGCGGUGGCGGCCGCGCCCGGCGCCGCCAGCUCCCCGCUGUCAUCCCCGCCGGCGGCGACGAGCCGCUGCUGCUGCCCGCCCUGCGCGUGGCGGCGCACGCGCACCUCGACGGAGGUGUCCCCGCGCUUGAAGGCCGCGUGGAGCAGCUUCUGCAGCGCGGCGCGGCCGCCCUUGAAGGGCGCGGCGUGCGCGGCGGGUCCGCCCCGGCCGCCGACCCCGAUGAGGAGCUCCUCCACGACGUCCCCCGUCUGCACCGUCUCGCUGCUCCCGGGCCCCCACUCCUCCGCCCGCGACCCGCCCGCCACGCACUCGAUCGCCACCACCACCCCCUGCCUCCUCCCGCUCUCCAUGGGCAUGCCCCCCCUCCUCUCUCUGUGUGUCUCCUCCUCGCGAGCGUGGGCGUGGCCUAUCUAUCGAGGGGGAGGAGGAUCUAGCAGGGCAGCUCGAGCGACGCGGACCCGGGAGGAAGAGCAGAGCAGCUCGGCUCCCUCGCGCAGAUUCCUCGGCCUCUUCCGAGCCGGCGGCGGCCGGUAGAAAUAGGAGACGCUUUCCAGGAGGGUGCGGAUGGAAUGGAAGCGACCGAGCGCGUGAUGGUCACUGGGACGAUGCCACGACGGCCACGCGUCGAACCGGACGGAAAAGAACCCCCCGGCCCGGUAGGUGAAUCCGCGCCCUCCGUUGUCAGACAAGUUGUUAGCAGAGUGGAUGUCGUGGGGAGGAAGAGCCGGGCCCGGAAUUUUCGUUGAGUGCUCGACCCUCGGCCGGCGCGAGUGCCUCUCAAGUCUGAUCGGCAGAUCCCAGGUGUGCGAUUCCGGCGGCCUCGCCGGAUCGGAAUUCAGAACAACGGCACACGCACUGGCACUGCAGCUUCGAUGGGCUCGUGUCACGUCAGGACACCCCUCGGGCUUUAUUCUCCGGACAUCAAACGAAAUCACAGUGUUACAUUGACUGUGAACCAACAUGUUGAACACAGCUCUUAACACGAUCUGUCCUGUUAAGAAGACUCGAACCCGAUUUUCCAACGCCACCUCAACUGUACCCAUUGGUCAAGGCUUGUCUGUUACGGCUCACGCCUUCUCAUUGGAGGACCUGGGGGGAGUACGACCGCGCGAGUAUCAUAAUACCGCCACCGCCGAAUCCAAAAUUUUCCGAACACCGCCGAUGAAUCUAAAUACCAUUUUCUAGGUCGUCGUCGGAUAUCCAUGACAUCAUCCCGGAAGAGAAAUUCAAACGGAUGGCCCGUACAUGAUACGGUACGCCAAUCGAUCCUUGUCCAGUGAAAUUUAAAAAUCAUCAAACCAAGUGGAUCUAGCUUGCGCGGCCACUCAAUCAAGUGGCAUUUCUAUAUUACAUGGAUCCACCAAUCAAAGGCCGCCGUCUGACAAAAAAAAGUGUAUAAUAAUAUAGAUUCAGUAUACGGAUUGUAGAAGUCCGGUGUCAUGAAAAGGAAAGAAAUGAACAGUUGCCUACUGCUCUCGGUGACCAUUUGUCCAUUUCAUACAGGGAAAUACCAAGAAAUAUACGUCUCGGCUUCCACGCGUAAUUGCUAGUCAAGUUUCGCGUUCAUGCGCCGGUGCCCAAUAAUGGCGGUGUACUAGAGGACGUGAAAAUUCCAUUUCUACGGGAUGAGCGCUGGGAAGAAAUAACAUCGUAGGAAUGGAUUACGGAGAAGCAGAUAAAUUAGCCAUCUUCGUUGACGUCAGAGCAAGUUGCGAUGUUGACAUAUCCACUUCAUCGCAGCAUUAAAAGUGCUUUUGAAUUUCUAUAAGCUUGCAAAGUAUGGUUGAAAAUGAGAGCAAACAUCACAAUUCGAGCAAGUUCUGCUUAUGCUGAAAUCAUUACUUUGGAAUUUGGAUUGACCUUUUAAACUGUUCGGAAUACGGUCCCUGCAAUCUCUUGCCCCGAAAACAAGUAAUCGAAUCGAUACAUGAAAAUUUGACGUGAAUUUCAUGUGUCCUGAUAUGCAACUCCGAGAUUAAAUUUGCCCUUUACGGCUUUAACCAUUAAAGAGCCUGCAAACCUGUUUUUCACCAUGGUCAAAACACCAUUUGACUUGCAUAAACCUACCCAUACCCUGCUUUCUUCAAUGGUCAAUCCAGAACGUUGAUACGGCAUCCAACGGCAUCUGCGAUGCGUAGCACAGAAAAGAAGAUCUCCGAAGCCGAAGGGAAACUCUGUCCCCACCCAAGCUAGCAGACCGAAAUGGCAUCCACCUCACCGGAAUCCGCCGUCGCCGCCGCCGGGGAUGCCAACGAUCCCAUCCAAAUCCGUCGCCUAGAGCUGUCCGACCAAGAGAGGGGCUUCGUGGAUCUCCUUUCCCAGCUCUCCACCUGCCCGGACCUCACUCCGGCCGAGUUCGCCACGCGCUUCGCCGAGCUCGCGGCUCAAGGCGACGACCACGUCAUCCUGGUGGCCGAGGACCCCUCCGCCCCGGAGCGGAGGAUUCUCGCCACGGGGUGCCUCUUCGUGGAGCGCAAGUUCCUGCGAGGCGGCGGCAAGGUCGGGCACGUCGAGGACGUGGUGGUCGAUGCCGCCGCGCGCGGCAGGGGGCUCGGGCUCCGCAUCGUGCGCCGCCUUGUGGGGAUCGCCAGGGACGCCGGCUGCUACAAGGUCAUCCUCGACUGCACACCCGAGCUGCGCGCCUACUACGCCAAGUGCGGAUUUGUGGAGAAGGGGGUUCAGAUGGCUGUCUACUUCUGAACCAGACUUCAGAGGUAUGGCUCCUCUGGAAGUGCUGAAAGAAAUGCUGUAGUUGAUCGUUGGCAAAAUACACUAGCAUUUGGUUGUAGUAGAGCAGCAUAGGUGUAACAAGAUUCAAAUGCAUUUGAACCAAUUGCGCAAACACUCCAAACAGUGAUGUGCGUACCAUUCUGUAUCUGGAGUUAAUUUGGCUUGCUCAAGUUGGUGAUGGAAGAUGAGCUCUAGAACUAAGGAUAAACUUGAGUUUUGAGUUCAAAACUGAACCAGUUGAGGAUGUUUGGUGCAGUGCAGUCAUUUGUACACCUCAUUUCUUAUAUAUGCUCUCAACCGUCAAUCUGUUUUGCAGCUUAAGCUUGUUACAUUUUACCAUUCCAUUAUAAUUCAUAUACCACUGAACAGACAUAUGAAAAUCCUAUCAUGCAUGCUGACUAAUGUUUUGCUACAUAUACAAAAUGUUAUUUCAAGCUACGAGGUCGCCAAUUAAGGUUUUCUCAUCCUUUGCCUAACUCAUAUAGAUUGAUAUUUAUCCUAGCGUUACAACGUGUUACAUUUGUCUUUCUGCCAUCUUACCAACUCAGAUCACUUAUUUUCUUCUUACUAGAGCUACGGCUAGGUUCAGAUGCAGCAUUGUUUUGUGCUAAUAGGAAUUGACAACAUUUCCUUUAUGUGUCAUUAUUCAAAAAUCAAUGUCGAAUUUUUGAAACUUCUGCUCUAUGCUGCUACAAUUCCUUUUUUGCCUCAUUGAUUUUAAGAUCUUACAGUCCAUCCCAUUUUCUGUUGCAGAGUCAUUGCUGAAGAUUGAUGGGCUUAUCCGCUUAUGCGCUUGUUCUGCUCUGGGGACCCAUCCAGAAAUUUCUGAUUUCAGCAUGGCAGCAUUUGUAUGAACCAUAUGCUGUGCUUUUUUUUUACUGAUGUUUUUGACGUUGAGAAAUUUCCUUGGAGCUAUUAAUUCUUUACAAGGACGAUAAAUUUCCAACAGUUAUCAGGCCUGCUAGCUUUCCUGCUUUGUUAUUAUGAGGUCACCACGAAAUGCUUCCCCUUUCUAUCCAGAUGUUUGCACCAGAUGUUAAGAUCACUAAUUCUUUAUAAGGACGAUAAAUUUCCAACAGUUAUCAGGCCUGCUAGCUUUCCUGCUAUGUUAUGGUGAGUUCACAAAGAAAUGCUUCCCUCUAUCCAGAUGUUUGCAUCAGAUGUUAAGAUGACACGCCUUGGGUCUGGAAAGACCCAUAAUGCUUGCCGUGUGCCACCAAAAGGUCCUAGGUGCUUAUGCCUGCAAUUUGCUGAGGCUGUAGGAUGAAGCGUGCAACAAACUGAAAGAGCACUCAAACAGAAACCCAAGCUGGACAUCAUUAAACUGAAGAGAAUGAUACGAUUCCCACCUAGGCUAUAUAAGCCUAAAACACACCACAACAUGCAGCUUAAACACAACUGGUACUAUCUGACAUUUGAUACCCACAACACGUUGUGAAGAGAGCGAGCAUUCACUGAUGCAAGAAAACAUAUGCUGAUGGUUCAUCACACGCUUGUAGGUAGGUUCACAGCACACUAUAAGGUUUCCACUAACUUGGCAAAGUAGUCAAAAUUUCAAGCACUUGAAAGAAAUGAGCGAAGUCUCCAAUCUUCUAUUACAUAAGUCAUCAACAGUAGAUAACAAUAAGCUAAAGCAACAUUAUCAAAUUUGCUCUCAUGAUACGCACUAAGUGCUAGCUGAUUGAAUCCACGGUGGGACUUAAUCCUCAUCCUCAACAACCUUAGUACCCAAGCCUUUGAGACCCUCGGCAGGGAUCUCAGCAACUGUGACCAGAGAGUAGAGUUCCUCCUUGGCAUCUUCCUCAUCGUUCCUCUUACGGGCAAUUCUGACACGGACUCUCCUUGGCACACUCCGGAUACCACUGCUCCAGAUGUGCUUGUUGAGCUUCACAUCGAUCCGAACAUCAGUAGUACCCAUGGCCUUCUGUGCAAACUUCCUAAUCUCCUUGAUGGCAUUUGGUGCCUUCUUCUUGAAGGUGCUGUAUACAAUCAACGGCAGAUUAGAUAUCACUACAAUGACUGAUCACUAUAUAUCAAUUUGCUAUACAUGACUUCUCAAACUUGAGAGUUAAAAGAGAUUCAACUACAGGAAUUAAUAGACAGCAAAAUAUUGGAUUUCUGUGUGAUUGUUGCACCCAAAUGGAACACAUGACAGCAUGUCAAGGCAACAUGUGUAACGAUGAAUGGCAUCUUUCUACCAGGCAUGUAACUGUAUCAACCACUACAUUGUAUAAGACAGAUACCUGACUAUGUCCGGACAAACAAAAAAUGAUUAUGGAUCAGAUAUGCAACUCCCAACAUAUGAUGGCAACAUAUUCAUAAAACAGCAAAACAUAGAACUUCUAUAUAGAUGUAGCACCCAAAUGGAACACAUGACAGCAUGUUAGGGCAACAUGAGUAACGAUGAGUGACAUCUUUGUACCGGGCAUGUAACUGUAUCAACCACAAUUGUAUAAGACAGAUACCUGACUAUGUCCGGAAAUCGCAAACAAUAUUAUGUAGAUGAUACAGUAACUACCAAUCAAAUUACACAUGGAAGCUAGAAUGGGUGAAAAAUGUACUGCCCAAAUGGAACACAUAGUAGCACGAUGAGAAGCAAAACGUGUAACGAUGAGCAGGUUACAUAUCCCGGGCAUGUAACUGUGUGCAGCCACAGAAUGAUAAGGCAGACACCUGACUAUACCCGAUAAGCACCUAAUAGAACGGGACUAACGAAAACAAAUAGCUAUUUCAUACCACUACUCAUCAAUUAAAACAAGACAAACUCGAGAUAAAAUGUGGGAUCAAAUACAAGAGCAGGAUCCAAAAAAAUCUAAUCCCGCUCGGUCAGAUGAUUCCGACUGUACUAUAGCUGGUAAAGGAUACUGAUCCAAACAGGUGUACCAACCAAUUGCGAGCCCACAGAGUGCUCGCAGGCCGUAACCCUCCGCACCAGCAUCUCACAGAACAGGUCGUCGAAGAGCGAUACUACUCUCCAACACACAGAUCUACUCAGCUGCUACCGCAAAGUUUGGGAAUGGUACAGAAGGGCAGGGGAAGGAAGGGGACGAUACCAUCCGUGGAGGCGCUUGUGGAGGUUGAUGGUGUACUCGCGAGUCACCACCUCGUCCUUGCGUGUGCCGGGGCCGCGCUUCUUCUCCGACAUCUCCGCUCCGCCGCCGCGUCCGCCUUUCUCCUUUGCUCGAGCUCGAGGGAGGUUGCGGCGUGAGGAGAUAAACCCUAACCGCGCCCGCCAGGGUCGCCUUUUUAUAGCGGCGCGAGUUAGGGCUCCCUACCCUUUUGGGCCUCUCCUCCCGAAUACGAGACCAGCCCAUGUGUACAGAAUUAGGCCCAUUUAAGUAGACCGUCUCAUUUUCCUCCUCCUCUUCUUCAUCUUUUUUUUAAUGCUUGCAGAUACCUUGUUCAUCCCGCCCGUGAGAAGCUUGAGAGCUGUGAAUUGUGAUCACGUAGCAGUGGAGGUUGCGGGAGUUAGAUGUCCGCUUUUUUUUUCUUUUGGAAACGUUCGCUUUCGAGGCUAGCUGAUUGAGAUCUUAUUUUGGCUUUGAUGAUACACUUCCUUCACAGUAUCACCCUUAGCUGAGCAAUUCAAUAUCUCCAACGCGAACAUGACCAGAUUUUUGUAUAUCUUCUGAAAACGGAAGCUACGAAAAACGACCAACUCCACGACCCUCGCAGUGUGCCCCGUCAUUUGACAAGUAACAGCUACCGAUAAACCAGUCAGUUCGACCAACUACUGAAAAAUAUCGGUCAGUCUCUGUCGGUCUUCUGAGAAGACUGAAACAUUAAGCUUAUCGAUUACAUCAUGGUCACGACUCACUACCGGCGGCUUAAUAAUUGCCUAAUCACAAUAGACAUCAGCAUAGGCCAGAGAACGCUUGCCAUUGCAAUACUCCAUACAUGCAAACAAGCCAAAGGUAGCAUUGAAGCAUGAUACAUUACUUUAUUUGGGUUUCAGCAAAUGUUUGUUGCACGCCACAAAACCAGUACAGAAAUGUGAUCACAGUGACCAAUCAUGUAAACAUGUACUAGCUGAUAAAUAUCAGUGAGAUAAAAGAAGUAGUAGCCUAUGGGUUGACAAAGGAGCAGUGAAAAAAAUGUAAUCAGCAUCAAAUAUGCUAGGCAAGAAAUAAUAAACAAGCAAAGAGGACAGAUUUGGUACGGGAAAGAUAUUCUUGCAACCAUUUCAUAGCCAGGGAACAAACUAUAGUUCCCAAUUUGGGAGUGGCAAAAUUGGCAUUUUGCCAUAAAUGCGCAACUGUAGCAUUUCGUUUGUAUUUAUGAAUUAUUGUCCAAACAUUGACUUUGUAUUUAUGAAUUAUUGUCCAAACAUUGACUAAUUAGGGUCAAAAGAUUCGUCUCGUAAAAUACAACAAAACUGUGCAAUUAGUUUUUGAUUCAUCUACAUUUAGUACUCCAUACAUGUACCGCAAGUUUGAUGUGAUGGGGAAUCUUCUUUUUGCAUAGUGUCAAAGUUGGAAUUUUGGAGGGAAGUAAACAAGGGCCUAGUGAAAGCAGGUUGCCUCCAGCAGCAGGAAGAGGAAAUUAGCAGGACUUAGUUACAAUUUCCUGCCAAAAGAAUAAGGACAACAUAGACCGAACUGUGGCAGAUUUCUGAAAAUAGCAGUUGCCCACAACCACAUUGUUAGUUUACAGUAGAGAAUUAGCUAGGAUACUAGAUCUGCUCUGAAAGAUGGCGAAUCUAAUCAUCUCAAGUAUCUUCACAAUCCAUGGAGUGAAAUAAACGGUCAGAAGAAAGUUGGAGCUUUAGGGAAAGAUGUUGACAUGUAAGGGAUGCAGUGGCUUGGUGAAGUAAAAAUGUGAUUGCAAGACAACAACAAUGUAGUUCCUGAUGUGCGAAAACACAGACAGAAUUCAAUAUUUGUUUUAAUAUUAACAAACACUGCAUAAUGGAACGGUUGGAAAAGGUAUUCUAGUUACUUAAGCUAUGACUGGCUUAGUGGCUUACCUCAACUUUUAAUUUAUGCUAAUUGAGUAUAUAAACUAAUGUAACUACUAACUACUUAGCCACACCUGAACAAGCACAAGCAGACUAAUAACAUAACCUCAUACCCACAGACCAUGAAGGAACAGAAGAGUGUAUACAAAGUGCCAAACUACAUGCAGAAUAUUAGUUAAUAGAUUCAGGAUUUAAAAGACCAUGAAGAAACUCAUGAUCCAGUUUGACUAUAGUCUCUAGAUUUGUAAUAGAAGAAUGCAACGCAAUCACAACAUAUGCCAUGCCACUCUUAUCAAUAAACCAAAUGGACAAUCUGUGCAAAAAAUGACAGAACUACAAGCUUCAAGAAUGACACAUUUAUGACUUUUGCCUGUCAUCUACAAAGCACAGACAUCAAUAGAUCAAAGCAACGCUAUUGUCCAAUAGCUCAAAUUCACAAAGACAAGCGCAAUAGAGGCUCAAAUGGUUCCACAGACAACAGAAAAAGUCUACAGUACCUACUAGGCACAGUAUCUAUUAUUUAAUAGAUACAAGAUUUAGAAGAACCAUGAAAAAUCUCAAGAUACAAUUCAACUGUUAGAAAAACAUUGUACUUCACAAUGCAAUACUGAUCUUACCAAUCAAUAAAGUGGAACGAUAUACUAUUAUUACCAAUCAAUCAAGUGGACAGCCUGAGCUAGAACAACAGAACUAUGUGACCAAUUUCAUUAAUUGUUCAUCGAUAGCCUUCACCAUUCGCUCUUUCCCAAGAAUCAGGACGCCCACUAGAUAAAUCUAAUCGAUCAAAGCAUGAGCACUACCCAAUCUGUCAAAUUAGCACAAUACGCACCAGAGAUUUCAUAACAAGAGUAGAAUUGGCAAAGCAUAUUACAAAAAUCAGGGGGUUAAAAUGGAUUUCACAGCUAACAGAAGAAUUAAGUCCUCAAGCUUUAUUCCAUUCCGGAUUCAGCUCAUCAUAUCAUACAGAAGAAGAAAAGAAAAACAAGCGCCUAGUAGGCGAGGUUCGAUUUGUCCGCGCGCACGCAGUACAGAUCGAGCGAACCCUUCGAUCCGAUGAGAUCAAGCAAAGAGGCAAACCAGAGGUCAGAUCAGACGGCGGAGGGCGCGGCGCCCGCGGACUCGGCCUCGAGAUACCGGCAGAUCCGCUCGACGACCUCCCUCCCCUUGGCGCUGUUCUGCAGGAACCUCUCGGCGCACCGGGUCUCGACCUUCUCGGCGACGGCGGCGAGGGCCGCGAGCGGGCGGCACCGGAUCGUGGUCUCCUGCCUGAACUGCGUCCACUCGUCGGGGCGGUCCGGGUGGGGCCUGUAUGAGGCCCUCUCCUCGACCUCGAUGAGGCCCCGGAGGCUGACGUUGCGCACGACAACGUCCAUGGCGCGGCGUUGUGCGUCGACAAGCGAGGUCUCGACGCAGUGGCAAAGCGCGGCGCCGUUGGGGGACGCCGCGGCGGACGGGAGGAGGCGGCGGAGGAUGAAGGGGAGCGGCGGGGACCGCACCGUGAUGGAGCGCGCGGCGUGGAGGCGGCCCGUGUCCGAGUCGAGGCGGCGGUGGAGGGUGUGGACGUCGGCGACGUGGGAGAGCGCCGUGCGGGAGGCCGGGUCCGUGAACUUGCGCCACACCGCCGCCGUCACGCGGUCCCACGGGUGCCGGUAGACGUGCUCCUGCGCGUACACCACCAUGGCGCCGGCCGCCGGUCUUGGCCUCGUGGGGCUGCGGGGGUUUUGGCUGGAUUUGAUUGAUUUCCUCUUUCUUGCGGCGAGGGUUUGGGCCUCCAGGGGGUGGCUGGCGACUUGGCGAGGACGGACGAGGAGGGGAAGAAGAGGCAGGAAAGGAGGAAUGGAGGAGGAGAGGUGGUUUUUGUAGGGCCCGAGCCCGAUCGAGCCGUGCGGCCGCCGCUGGAUUUUUGGGUCGUGGGGAGGAAGGCAGCCCGAACCUGCCGGCGAGGCCGAGUGGUGCGGUCGGCACGUGACCCCGAGUCCCCGACUCUGACCUCCUCCCGCCCGCGUGUCCCGAGCGGUUUCCUUGUGCUGCCGCGUGUGCUGGCAAAGCGUACCCCAGAGCUCAGUGCAUCCGUGAGGAGAAAACGUAUUCUAUGUUUACGCCUUCCGCUUGACUUGGGAAACAGGAGAAAGACUACUCCGAACCAGGCGAGCAGCCGCCACCGUGACCCGCGACCUUUCCUUGUCAGGCUCAGAUGGCGCUCUCGCACCUCUCCCGCCGCCUCCUGAGCCCGACGGCCGCCGCGGCGGCGCGCCUCCCCAAGACAUUCUCCCAUGGGCGCGAUCCAUUCAUGAUCAUCCACCCGGGCCGCCGCUUCUUCUCGGCGUCCGCAUACCCCAGCUCCUCCUCCACGCCGUCAGAGCCCGAGCCCGGCCCCGGCACCCCCGGCUCCGCGCCCGCGUCGCCUGACGAGAUGCGGCACCAGGAGAUCGAGGGCCCCACGGUGGAGCGCGACACGUCGCCCCUGGCCGACGAGACGCGGCGGGAGAUCGACGCGCUCCGCCGCACCGUGCAGCGCCUCAGCGGCUCGCUCGCGCUCCUCGGUGGGGCGCACCUCGCCGCCGGCUCGUGGAUCGCCUACGGUGCCCCGCCCCUCGGCGUCGAGACCGCAGCCGCGGUGCAGGGCGUGGCGGCGUUCGCGUUCCCCUUCGCGGUCGCCCUGGUGCUGCGCCGCGCCAUCAAGCCCAUCGCCUUCUUCCAGAAGAUGGAGGCCAACGCGAGGCUGCAGGUGCUCACUCUGUGCCUCCAGGCUACGAAGAACGUUAACCUCAUGCUGCUCCGGACGCGGGUGAUGACCAUCUCUUGUGCUCUCGGGGUGUCUGUCGCGUCAGUUGCUGCGAUAUUGAUGCGGUGAGUUUAAAGCUCAGAUCUCGUCGAGAAGGAUGGUUAGUAUCAGUAACUGAGGAAUAAUAAUGAACUGUUAAUAGGCAAAUAGACUUCGAAGUUGGAAAAUUUGGUGCUUUUGGAUGUUGGACUGUGCUUAGUUUUGGUCAUUGUACACGAAACAAAGGAGAUUAUAAUGUGAUUGUCAUUGUUUGAGAUAUUUCUAGUACAGUGAGUGAUAUUCCUCUUCAAUUGGAUCGAACCAGUUGGGCGAAAUUCAGCAUUUUCCUUAGAUUUUAGAUGAACCAGCUCCAUGUUGAUAUCCUGUUUGUUAAUAACAUGGUUAUAAUUAGGGGAAAGCUAUACUGUGCUCGCGCAUUUCUUUGGCUUCCCACACUUGAAUUUUCUCCUCAUCCCAUCUUCUGCGUCUUCACCGAGAUUUGAUCCGUCUUCUUCAUCUCCGGUAAGACCCAGCUCCAUCUGAUCCAUCUCCGGCGAGCUCCGAUGAAGGCAAGAGGUUAGGGCCUUAGGGGAUUUGGGUUUGGGGAUGGGGGAUUCAGGCCCUGGGGUUCCUGGUGUUGCAGGGCAUAGAGGGGGGUCUGGAGGUGGCAGGCCGGACAGGCGGUGAUGGUGGCCGCGGGGACGGCGAGGCACGGUGGCGGUGGCGCCGCUGGCCGGGCAGUGGAGGAUGGCGGUUGGGCCAGGUGGGGGCGGGGGCACCAAAUCUGGAGUGGUUAGCGUGCGGGUGGGGAGCGGCAGCGAGAGCCGCCGGAGACGGGGUGGAGGAGGGUGGGGUGGGGGCACCGGCAUUGACUCGUUGAGGAGGAAGCUUGCGCUGUUUUGUUUCGGAGGAGAAAGAAGGACCGAGGAAGAAGAAGGGAGGAAGAAGAAACAACAGCAGACGUCAGAUGCAGAUCCAACGGUUGGUCGGGUGUGAGGGGAAGUUGAAACACUCGAGCGCAAGCUAGGUAGCCCCAAUAAUUACAUCUUAGAGCGGAGCGUCUUCUAACCCUCUUACAGCCGAACUAUAUUUUGGAACUCUGUGUUUUGGCAAGGUUAUAUGAUCUUACGCUAGAGUACUACAAUUCCUGGUUCAAUCAGUACUGAGAGGUGAGAGCAGAUGGACCUUUGUGAUUUGGCAAGGUUUUAUGAUCACCUUUUGCUUGAAGACUACUAUUCCUGAUUCAGUUGAUACUGAGAUCAGAGCAAACUGGUUGUGGCAUGUGCUUAGUUCAGAAGUCAGAUUUGGUCUCUUAGAUGUUUCUCCAAGAUUACCUUAUGUAGAUAUGUGAUGUCAAGGAGUAAGUAGGAGGUAAAUGGAAAUAGCAUUGUAUUAAAUACAGUAUUGGGAGUCGACUAGAGUGGUGUUUUAUUGCGAAGAUUACCUUCAUUGUUAAUGGUUGAGAAAAUGGAUUUAUCAUAAUCUUUCAAUAGUUUCGCUAAAUCUAGUUCCAGAUUUUUCUUUUGUUUUCUGAUUGUGUUUGUUCAUUUCUUUCUCUUUCCUUUUUUUCUUCUUUCUUUUGUUUUUGGGCCCUUGGCCUUCGGACCUUGUUUUUGGUUCUUUUAUCCCUUCUUAAUUUAAUGGUGUCAGUCCUCCUGUCAGUUCAAGAAGAAAAAAUAGUUUAAACAAACAGGACUCAAUAUUUUUGCUGCUUGUUAACGUCGGUUAUCUUGUUGGUGAUUCACUGGUGACUGUCUAGUUAGGCAUCAAAAUAUAUUAUCUAUAUUUUUACCAAAAAAAGAACUGGAUGGAAGGUAAGCACCCUUGCAUUACUGCAUAUUAUCCACAUCCUUGCAUUAGUGUACCCACUUUUAAUCCUGACUUGCUUCUGUAAUGUUGUAGUUGGAUCAAGAUUUUGAAAGGAGGGACAUUUGAUAUCACAAAGUUUCUUUUUUAAUCAGCUUUAGUAGCAGUUAUUUGAGUUUCAUUUUGGUACUUAAAGACCCAUAUCUCUAUUAAAUGCUGGAUCUUUGUUUUGGUAAUACAGUGUUUCUCCACUUGCUGUACCCUUUGUUAUAAGCAUUACAGCACCAUUGUCUGCAUCUAUGCUCCAAACCAUUUUUCUCUAGUUUGUUGUCUCUAAUGUGCAUUGGCAAUUUUAUGCCCAAGUAUGGUAGAAAAGAUUUGUUUGUCUUUUUUUGAACCAGUAAAUUUGUUUAAUCUUCUUUUUGAAUAGGUGAAUUCUCAUGAAAUUUGGACAAGCCAACUUCAGUUUAAUAUCUUUUAGGUCAGAUAACUUUUUCUAUAGGUCUAUCUUUCCUGCUGCAUAUGUGUCUCUUGUAGCCAAUCAGCCAUUGGGAAUCAUUUGAUGAAUCUAACCAAAUAAUCACCUGGUGUUAUUGAUUGCUAUGAAGCAAUCAGAGUCUAGAGAUGAAGUGUAAUGUUCUUUUCAAAUUACAACUCAGGUUCACAGAUCAAUUGGUUCCUCUACAAACAUGCUAAAGACAUCGAGAUACUUCUUGGGUUUGUUUACCGAAGUUUCUUUUUCACGCUGUUGUAGCCUUGUAGGGAUGACAGCUUGAAUUGAUUGAUAAGCUGAAUAUUACUGGUCUUUAGCGAUCCUGAUGUGAGCUAAGCUUCUUUUUUUUUUCUGCUAAAUGUUUUUGAAAUCGCUGAGCUGUAUAAUUUGGAUUUAACUUGAUGUCCAUUGUUUCGUGAUGGAUACAUCGUGGUCUAGCUAAGUAUGUAGUUUAAGACAAUAAGCAAUUUGUAAUCAUUUGACAAAUCUAACCAAAUAACCACCCAAUCUUAUUGAUUGCUAUGAAGUGAUUAGAGUCUAGAGAUGAGUGUAAUGUUCUUGUCAAAUUACAACCCCAGUUCACAGAUCAAUUGGGUCCUAUACGAACGCGCUAAAGAAAUCGAGAUACUUCUUGGGUUUGUUUACCUAAGUUUCUUUUUCACACUGUUGUAGGGAUAACAACUUGGAUUGAUUGCUUAGUUGAAUAUUACCGGUCUUUAGCAAUAUUGACAUGAGCUAAGCGAUUGGAUUUUUUUUUUGGCUAAAUGCUUUUGAAAUCGCUGAGCUGUAUAAUUUGGAUUUAACUUGAUGUCCAUUGUUUCAUGAUGGAUACAUCAUGGUCUAGCUAAGUAUGUAGUUUAAGACAUGACAGUAUACAACUCUUACCAGAUGGUUCUUAAAAAGCCAUGGAUUUCUAAUUCAUUAAUAAAGGGAUUUGUCUUCUCCUGUUGAAGAGAGUGAUGUUUCAUUUGAAGAGCCCCAUUUCUCACACACUCUUUUACUGGCCUCAAGUCACCUGACAAGGAUAAGAAAUAGAAGAAAAAACAGAGAAUACUGCACUGUGUUUACCUUGUUGUUUAGACUAGGUCAAGCAGAGCUUUUUGUAGAGGAUGUGCACCAGGCAUUCUCUACUGUGUAGGUUUCGUUGCCUUUUAUGCUUCUUUUAGACAACACUGUGAAAUAGCUUGUCACCAUGCUUUUGGAUAGUACAGAUUCACCGGCAGCAUUGUCCACCACCAAUAGGCCUUGUCUUAGCUGCUGGAUAAACGUAGCGCUUGUGUCAACAACUGGAUAAGAAUUGGCAAUUAUUGGUGCUCUUUCUUGCCAUUAUAAAUAGGCACCUGUAAUGCAAGGAGUAUGCACACCUAUCUCACUCAACUUCAGAGUCCAUUGAGUUUCAGGUCUCUUUUCACUCAAGGAAACAUGCAUUCUUGGGCAUCAGUGGUUCAGCGCUGCAUGUAGUUCUUCAACUCUUUGAUUUGUGCUAACCUCCUUGAGCAUAGGAUCAAGCCUAUGCAAACAUUGCUACGUUCUUCUUCCUGCACCAGGAUGGGGAAAUCCUUAUGUUAUGCCCAUAACAUUCUUGACCUUGCAAGGCCAAGGCACAGUGGCUGGCUGGCUGCAAGCUGGGGAAGUUUGUUGGCUGGUCCGUGAAAGUGAGACUCAUCUUUGUUGAGUGUCUGUCCUUCUCAGCUUAAUCUCUGUUCAACAUGCAGACCAGUAGACUAUCUUCUGCAUCUAUGUAUUGAUCUUUUCUAAUGUCUGUUCAACAUGCAGACCAGUAUAUUAUAUCUUCUGCAUCUAUGGAUUGAUCUUUUCCUUUGUGUGCUGGGAAAAUGCGUUUUGUUUCUUUCCAGCUGGUAAAUCCGGCAUGGGUGCCUGAAAUAACAUGUAUUUGCAUCUGAAUCUGGUUGGUGUCAUGCUGCAUUGUUGCUGCAAUGCUGUGUCUAAUUUUCUCUGAAAUGAAUGCUUACAAAUCACUUGCGGCCAUGCUCGAUCACAUGCUGCUUACACCAACAUUCAGAAACAUCGCACAAAGUUGGGUGUUGCUGGCCACUUGGGGAUGCGGGUUUGCAGCCUUUCUGGAGUUUUUUGUGAGCUUGAGCUUGAACCUUUCCGGUGCGUGCAAGUGCAAGUUGCAAAGUAAGAUACGGCCUGGAAUGUCGAUGUAGUGAGAUAUUUCUACUUGUCUUUGGCGACAGAGUAUCUCGUCUUUACCUUGCCAUUCUUUUUGCAGUUGUUGGAUCUGAGUUGCUUUGCACGUCGCCUCUCCAUUUUUCUUCUCUCGUUUCUGCAAAAUCCUGUGCUGCUUUUUUACAGCGUUUUGUGUUAGUACUCCUUGAAGCGUUCGUGUAAUUGUGGAAUGUUAAAGCAGUUUCUUCUCCUCCAUGAAGGAGCUGGGCCUGCUGGGGUGGAUUGGGAGUUUGGGACCCUGCUGAGAGUCGAUCUGCACAGCGAUCGAUACCUUUUUGGAUGCAUCGCCUGUGCCUCUAAUUAACCAUCAUGUUGCAGCUUUUACAGUACUUAUUUUUGCAACCGCGAGCUGAUUGCAGGGAUCAGAAAUUGCAGCAGUUCUCUCCGGAGUCCGGAUGAGUACAGUGAGGAGUUUGAUUACUUGAGUCUCCAUAGCACAGCCGUACCACCUUGCAAGUUCGUUCAAUUCAGUUACUUUUUGGAGUAUUACUUUGUAGUACCAUGUACUGGCACCUCAUUCACUGUCGCUUCAACUAGAAGGUGAUCGUCCAUUCCCCAACCUUGUUUGAGGAAUGGUGUUCUAAAAGUAACAGUGAGUAUUACUUCCCUAUGAACUUUGCCUGUGCGGCAAUUCGUACCGGAAAGAAGACGCGCUAGGUUAAGAAGCAGAACACUUUAUAGCAUCGUACGAAUCACAAGCCGCACAUCCUCAACCACGCGUAAGACAUAACAAGAUACCAUGAAAUGAAGAAACAACCAUAGGGGGGAACAUUUAUGCAAAAUUAAGCACACAUCUACGCAGGAUGAUUAAAUCGAAUUGUUGAAUUGAUCCAAACAAAUGACAAGUACAUGUGUCGAUCCCUCUCUCGAAGGGAUUGAACAACAAAUAACAAGACACCAAAUUAAACUGGUGCAUCAGCGACAUCAUCAAUCAAUUCGUUAAAUUAAGCAGAAGAAGAAGGGGGAAAAAAGAAGAAGACAAAGACCGGCGGCCGCCAUCAUGCCUCCCCUCCGUCUCUUUCUCCUCCUCCUCCGGUCGGCCGGCCGGCGGCUCACUGAAUGUAGUAGGCGAAGAAGGAAGCCACGGCGGCCCCGAGCGCGGCGCCGAGGGCGGGCGCGACGGCGGAGGACCCGCUGGUGGGGGCCGGAGCCGGGGCGUCCGCGGCGAGCGCCACGGUGGCCGAGGCGGCGACGAGGACGGCGCAGGCGAUCUUCUUCAUCUCCAUCCCUUCUUCUGCGAAACGACGGAACGGAGGCGAGCAACAAGAAGAGCUGCGGCGAGCUUGGCUGCUGCUGCUUUUCUUGGCUUGCCUCUGCGCCCUCGAAAUUGCUUGCUUGCCUGGGAAGCGAGGGGAUGGGCGGGGUGGGGGAUUUAUAGCUGGGAUUAACGGGUGCUAAUCCCCGGAGGGGAGCUCUGAGCGGGGCGAUCGCGAGUGGGUGGGCCGCCAUGUGGUGGCGCCCGCUACGUGCCUGCAUGUGCAUGCGAAGCGGGCGAGUGGCUGGGCGGUCAUCUCGCGGCGGGGGAUGGGAGGAGACGAGACGAGACGAACGGGUCGCGUGGCGUGGCUCGUUGCGCUUUCGUUAUCGAAGUUGAACGAGUCCCCUUUCUUCGAUCUGCUAAUAGUCAUCAGGCGCGCACGUUUAUUUGCGUGUUGUAGCUGCGUGUUAGUUUUGGAAGAAAAUUGGGCUCUGGUUGACGUUCUGUUGUGACGUGUCUGCUAUUUUUGUCAGAUGUUCGUCCUCGUCGCCGGCGAAACAGCGCGGUAACUUGCAUCCCUGUACUGUUGCGACACGAUAUCCGGUUCC